AUGGGGGAAGAAAUAUUCAAACCCCUUUCUCUUUUUUUUUUUUUGAGACGGAAUCUCGCUUGUCGCCCAGGCUGGAGUGCAGUGGCCGGAUCUCAGCUCACUGCAAGCUCCGCCUCCCGGGUUCAUGCCAUUCUCCUGCCUCAGCCUCCCGAUAGCUGGGACUACAGGCGCCCGCCACCGCGCCCGGCUAGUUUUUUGUAUUUUUUUAAGUAGAGACGGGGUUUCACCAUGUUAGCCAGGAUGGUCUCGAUCUCCUGACCUCGUGAUCCGCCCGUCUCGGCCUCCCAAAGUGCUGGGAUUACAGGCUUGAGCCACCGCGCCCGGCCUAAUUUUUUUUUUAAAGUAGCAAUGGGGUUUCACCAUAUUGGCCAGGCUGAUCUCAUACUCCUGACCUCAGGUGAUCCACCCGCCUCAGCCUCCCAAAGUGCUGAGAUUACAGGUGCGAACCACUGCGCCUGGCCUACAAAGGGUUUUUAAUGCAUGAAAAAAGCCACUAAAGUGCCAUUCUUUCUUCAAAGCAAUAUUAUUUUCAAGUAUAUUAAUUUGUUAGAAAACUUUCCCAUUGGAAAUAUUGUCAGUUACCUGUACUGUAACAGCUUAUGUUCAGUAAUCAAAAUUUUCUACGUGACUAUAAACCACUCUCACACAGAAGGCAUUAGAUAAACAUACACAACAGUUGGGUUCCUUUAUACAAAUGUGGGAUAAGAAAUACUUUCUUGACAUUUUUCCAUGGCCAAGUAUUCCCAUUAAAGUAAGAACAAGAAUUGAAGAGACAUUUUGUGUAUAGAAAAAUUUUCAUUUAAAAAGAUACUAUUGGUAACCUUGAAGGCAUAGAUAAUGGGCAUGUCAUAAAAUUAUCAAUUAUAACUGGCAUUGAGGGACUGCCCUUCCAAAACUAAACUGAGGCUUCCCUGGUUACAGAUAUAGAACUAGAUCACUCCCUUUUCAAGUAUGGUGGAAUCAUCCAGUGCAUAUGUAUACAAAGGAUCUAGUGAAUCAUGUGAUGGUCAUCGGCCUUCUUUGAUUGCAUUAAUGCAUCAUGCUAAACAUUCAGCACAGGUUAACAAUUCCAGAUUUGUUUCUUCUUCAACAACUCAAUGCUCUAAAUUUUACUAUGUCUUUAAUAAGACCUUCCCAAAUAAAAAAUAAUCAUUUGGAGAUUUUCCUCUGCUCUCUACCAUACAUUUGCACCAGGAGGAAGAUGGAAUGAAUAUGCAGUGUUAAGUUGAUGUAUGCGAACAGUGAUUUGAUAUUAUGCCAAAGAGAAAACUGCCCCACUUAAAUUCAGUUAAAUAAGAUGACUAAAAGUAAAUAAGUUGAAACACUGGAAAUUAUUUUUCUCAUGUUCUCUUGAUGCAAUGAAGGGAAUAUGAUACUACAGUAUAUGAAGUUGUUGGUGUUAUAUUAUGCACAACAUAUUUUGACUAUUUGAAUAAAUGUUAAUUUUUUAAUCAAUUUGUACCUUAACAGUGACUGGUUAUCUGUAAGUACAGAUAUGGAUUGUAUUUUUGUGUGAUUUUUUGUCCUUUUAGUGAUUUUUUUUUUUUUUUUUGAGACGGAGUCUCGCUCUGUCACCCGGGCUGGAGUGCAGUGGUGCUAUCUCGGCUCACUGCAAGCUCCGCCUCCCGGGUUCACGCCAUUCUCCUGCCUCAGCCUCCCGAGUAGUUGGUACUACAGGCGCCCGCCACUGCGCCCGGCUAAUUUUUUGUAUUUUUAGUAGAGACGGGGUUUCACCGUGUUAGCCAGGAUGGUCUCGAUCUCCUGACCUCGUGAUCCGCCCGCCUCGGCCUCCCAAAGUGCUGGGAUUACAGGCGUGAGCCACCGCGCCCAGCCCCUUUUAGUGAUUUUUUAAAAUGAGACAUGGAAUUAACAAUGAAAUGGGAUUUUUUUUCUAACCUAAUCAAUUGUUACAUGAAAAAUUUAUUUAUUAUUUAAUUUUUGAGAUGGAAUCUCA
Molecule: long non-coding RNA, 1954 nt
Filed under: Papio anubis (olive baboon)
Lineage: Eukaryota; Metazoa; Chordata; Mammalia; Primates; Cercopithecidae
Description: lncRNA (ENSPANG00000045347.1)
Source: RNAcentral